Molecule: ribosomal RNA, 519 nt
Filed under: Triticum aestivum (bread wheat)
Lineage: Eukaryota; Viridiplantae; Streptophyta; Magnoliopsida; Poales; Poaceae
Description: partial small subunit ribosomal RNA
Source: RNAcentral
AUGAUUAGUCUAUUGAUGUACCUGAUGGGAUUCUAUAGUCUUAAUGAAUCCCUUCACCAGGACAUCGCCAAAUACCAGUCCCAUUUCUUUUGGGCCGGCAAGGAUGGCAAGCAGAAAUACCAUAUGGUGAAAUGGUCAAAAAUUUGCAAACCCAAAGACCAGGCUGGUCUUGGCAUGAUUUCAUAUAAACGCAUGAACAUUGCCUUGUUGUCCAAGUGGCUAUGGCAGAUCACAUCUGGGGAAAGCGGCCUGUGGUUGGACAUUAUUCGCGCAAAAUACUUGCAUGGUCAACCAUUGGCAUUUGCAUAGCGGCUUGGGGGCUCCCAUUUCUGGCAAACAAUCAUCCAACUCAUGCUGGCCCUGCGUCUCAGAUCAUCGAUCGCUAUAGGUCGUGGGAAUUCCAUGCUCUUCUGGUUGGACCGGUGGUCUGGCGACCGUCCCUUCGCCAUUCAAUUCCGGUCGUUGUUUCAUAUUUGUGCCGAACCACUCUUGAUGGUAGCCUCGGUCUUAUCUGACUAA